GACGAACGCUGGCGGCGUGCCUAAUACAUGCAAGUUGAGCGAUGAAGAUUGGUGCUUGCACCAAUUUGAAGAGCAGCGAACGGGUGAGUAACGCGUGGGGAAUCUGCCUUUGAGCGGGGGACAACAUUUGGAAACGAAUGCUAAUACCGCAUAACAACUUUAAACAUAAGUUUUAAGUUUGAAAGAUGCAAUUGCAUCACUCAAAGAUGAUCCCGCGUUGUAUUAGCUAGUUGGUGAGGUAAAGGCUCACCAAGGCGAUGAUACAUAGCCGACCUGAGAGGGUGAUCGGCCACAUUGGGACCGAGACACGGCCCAAACUCCUACGGGAGGCAGCAGUAGGGAAUCUUCGGCAAUGGACGAAAGUCUGACCGAGCAACGCCGCGUGAGUGAAGAAGGUUUUCGGAUCGUAAAACUCUGUUGGUAGAGAAGAACGUUGGUGAGAGUGGAAAGCUCAUCAAGUGACGGUAACUACCCAGAAAGGGACGGCUAACUACGUG
This 497-nucleotide ribosomal RNA is filed under the name uncultured bacterium. RNAcentral describes it as "partial 16S ribosomal RNA". It matches the Rfam family "Bacterial small subunit ribosomal RNA", at positions 28 to 507 of the family's 1533-position model. The record is from RNAcentral.